AUGACUCGCAGGGUGGUGCUCAUGACCUUUUUGCUUUCUUGGCAUGUUUAUAAAGAGAUCACACAUGAAAAGGGGAUGCUACCCAUGGUCCAUGGAGGCCUCCUUCAGAUUCUUGCAAAGCUACUUCUCGUCGCUGUUAUGUACUGUAUCAAAGAUUAUCCUAAGGGAAUAUGGAGAAGGGGAAGAUGGCGAUCAAGACGCCAUCUAAGGGACGCCCAUUCCUCAUGCUUCGACAAACAGGAAUGUGGGGGAGCAGUGCUGGAGCGUGCCACCAGAGGGCUGGGUGAAGUUGAACUCAGAUGGCAGGUUUGUUGCACCAACAGGACAGGCUGGGUGCAAUAUGAUCUUACGGGACUAUGA
This 360-nucleotide ribosomal RNA is filed under the name Triticum aestivum (bread wheat). RNAcentral describes it as "partial small subunit ribosomal RNA". The record is from RNAcentral. Lineage: Eukaryota; Viridiplantae; Streptophyta; Magnoliopsida; Poales; Poaceae.